UACGGAAGGCAGCAGUGGGGAAUAUUGCACAAUGGGCGAAAGCCUGAUGCAGCUAUGCCGCGUGUAUGAAGAAGGCCUUAGGGUUGUAAAGUACUUUCAUCGGGGAGGAAAAAACAAAACUAAUAAUUUUAUUUCUUGACGUUACCCGAAAAAGAAGCACCGGCUAACUCCGUGCCAGCAGCCGCGGUAAUACGGAGGGUGCUAGCGUUAAUCAGAAUUACUGGGCGUAAAGAGCACGUAGGUGGUUUUUUUAAAGUCAGAUGUGAAAAUCCCUGGGCUUUAACCUAGGAACUGCAUUUUGAAAACUGAAAAUACUAGAGUAUCGUAGAGGGAGGUAGAAUUCUAGGUGUAGCGGUGAAAUGCGUAGAUAUCUGGAGGAAUACCUGUGGCGAAAGCGGCCUCCUAAACGAAUACUGACACUGAGGGUGCGAAAAGCGUGGGGAGCAAACAGGGAUUAAGAUACC
This 464-nucleotide ribosomal RNA is filed under the name uncultured bacterium. RNAcentral describes it as "bacterial SSU rRNA". It matches the Rfam family "Bacterial small subunit ribosomal RNA", at positions 340 to 786 of the family's 1533-position model. The record is from RNAcentral.